RNAcentral lists this small RNA (132 nucleotides) under Klebsiella pneumoniae. RNAcentral's name for it is "RtT sRNA". It matches the Rfam family "RtT RNA". Rfam says of the family: This family represents a bacterial cis-regulatory element known as RtT RNA. The exact function of RtT is unknown although it is thought that it may be involved in changing the cellular response in relation to amino acid starvation. Lineage: Bacteria; Pseudomonadati; Pseudomonadota; Gammaproteobacteria; Enterobacterales; Enterobacteriaceae. The record is from RNAcentral.
UAUUCUGCCCCACGGGGAAGGAUGAGAAGCUUUGGCCAAGGUUCGACCCCAGCGAAGCCAGAGGAACGUUGCCGCUGGCAAUGGCCCGAAGGCGAGGCGCUUUAGCGCCGAGUAAUCCUUCCCCCACCACUG